This 716-nucleotide ribosomal RNA is filed under the name uncultured bacterium. Its description in RNAcentral is "bacterial SSU rRNA". It matches the Rfam family "Bacterial small subunit ribosomal RNA", at positions 777 to 1500 of the family's 1533-position model. The record is from RNAcentral.
AUUAGAUACCCUGGGUAGUCCACGCAGUAAACGAUGAAUGCUUGCUGUCCGGGGGGAUUGACCCCUGGGGGGCGCAGCGAAAGCGAUAAGCAUUCCACCUGGGGAGUACGCCGGCAACGGUGAAACUCAAAGGAAUUGACGGGGGCCCGCACAAGCGGAGGAACAUGUGGUUUAAUUCGAUGAUACGCGAGGAACCUUACCCGGGCUCAAACGGGAGAUGACUCGGCCAGAGACGGCCGUUUCCGCAAGGACAUCUUCCGAGGUGCUGCAUGGUUGUCGUCAGCUCGUGCCGUGAGGUGUCGGCUUAAGUGCCAUAACGAGCGCAACCCCCGCGGGCAGUUGCUAACAGGUCAAGCUGAGGACUCUGCCCGGACUGCCGGCGCAAGCCGUGAGGAAGGCGGGGAUGACGUCAAAUCAGCACGGCCCUUACGUCCGGGGCGACACACGUGUUACAAUGGUCGGUACAGCGGGAAGCCAGGCGGCGACGCCGAGCGGAACCCGAAAGCCGGUCUCAGUUCGGAUCGGAGUCUGCAACCCGACUCCGUGAAGCUGGAUUCGCUAGUAAUCGCGCAUCAGCCAUGGCGCGGUGAAUACGUUCCCGGGCCUUGUACACACCGCCCGUCAAGCCAUGGGAGCCGAGGGCGCUUGAAGUGCGUCGCCGCGAGGCGCGCCCUAGAGCGAAACCGGUGACUGGGGCUAAGUCGUAACAAGGUAAC